CUUUCAGUACUCUGGGGGCUGUAAGCCUGUAUUCGUACAGUGGGCCUCCGUCUGAAACCCUUGUCUUUUGCGUACCUAAUGUUUCCUCGGCGGGCUUGCCCGCCGUUUGGACAACUUUAAACCUUUUUAAUUUCAAUCAGCGUCUGAAUAAAUUUAAAUAUUUA
Molecule: unclassified non-coding RNA, 164 nt
Filed under: uncultured fungus
Lineage: Eukaryota; Fungi
Description: sequence contains ITS1
Source: RNAcentral